RNAcentral lists this ribosomal RNA (492 nucleotides) under uncultured bacterium. Its description in RNAcentral is "partial 16S ribosomal RNA". It matches the Rfam family "Bacterial small subunit ribosomal RNA", at positions 29 to 507 of the family's 1533-position model. The record is from RNAcentral.
AGUGAACGCUGGCGGUAGGCCUAACACAUGCAAGUCGAACGGCAGCACAGUAAGAGCUUGCUCUUACGGGUGGCGAGUGGCGGACGGGUGAGGUAUACAUCGGAAUCUACUUUUUCGUGGGGGAUAACGUAGGGAAACUUACGCUAAUACCGCAUACGACCUACGGGUGAAAGCAGGGGAUCUUCGGACCUUGCGCGAUUGAAUGAGCCGAUGUCGGAUUAGCUAGUUGGCGGGGUAAAGGCCCACCAAGGCGACGAUCCGUAGCUGGUCUGAGAGGAUGAUCAGCCACACUGGAACUGAGACACGGUCCAGAGUCCUACGGGAGGCAGCAGUGGGGAAUAUUGGACAAUGGGCGCAAGCCUGAUCCAGCCAUACCGCGUGGGUGAAGAAGGCCUUCGGGUUGUAAAGCCCUUUUGUUGGGAAAGAAAAGCAGCAGGUUAAUACCCCGCUGUUCUGACGGUACCCAAAGAAUAAGCACCGGCUAACUUCGUG